GACGAACGCUGGCGGCGUGCUUAAUACAUGCAAGUCAACUUGACUUUAGAUAGCAAUAUCGAAAAGUAGGGUGGCGCACGGGUGCGUAACGCGUAGGUAAUCUGCCCUGAGGUCUGACAUAACCCGUCGAAAGGCGGGCUAACAUCAGAUGAUAUAUAGUCACGACAUCGUGGAAAUAUCAAAUCUUCGGAGCCUUGGGAUGAGCCUGCGUCUGAUUAGGUAGUUGGCGGAGUAAUAGCCCACCAAGCCUACGAUCAGUAGCUGGUCUGAGAGGAUGAUCAGCCACACUGGAACUGAGACACGGUCCAGACUCCUACGGGAGCAGCAGUAAGGAAUAUUGCUCAAUGGGGGAAACCCUGAAGCAGCAACGCCGCGUGAAGGAUGAAUACUUUGUAUGUAAACUUCUGUAAGAUGGGAAAAUAUUACUCCUCGGAGAAUUGAUUGUACCAUCAGAGUAAGCCCGCUAACUACGUAGCCAGCA
RNAcentral lists this ribosomal RNA (481 nucleotides) under uncultured bacterium. Its description in RNAcentral is "bacterial SSU rRNA". It matches the Rfam family "Bacterial small subunit ribosomal RNA", at positions 28 to 513 of the family's 1533-position model. The record is from RNAcentral.